CCUACGGGAGGCAGCAGUGAGGAAUAUUGGUCAAUGGCCGAGAGGCUGAACCAGCCAAGUCGCGUGAGGGAAGACGGCCCUACGGGUUGUAAACCUCUUUUGUCGGGGAGCAAAGCGAGUCACGUGUGACUCAUUGAGAGUACCCGAAGAAAAAGCAUCGGCUAACUCCGUGCCAUCAGCCGCGGUAAUACGGAGGGGGCGAGCGUUGUCCGGAAUGACUGGGCGUAAAGGGAGCGUAGGCGGCAUAUUAAGUUAUGUGUGAAAGCCCGCGGCUCACCCGCGGAAUUGCACAUAAAACUGGUAAGCGGGAGUGCAGGAGAGGUAAGUGGAAUUCCCGGUGUAGCGGUGGAAUGCGUAGAUAUCGGGAGGAACACCAGAGGCGAAGGCGACUUACUGGACUGUAACUGACGCUGAGGCUCGAAAGCGUGGGGAGCAAACAGGAUUAGAUACCCUGGUAGUC
This 460-nucleotide ribosomal RNA is filed under the name uncultured bacterium. Its description in RNAcentral is "partial 16S ribosomal RNA". It matches the Rfam family "Bacterial small subunit ribosomal RNA", at positions 338 to 795 of the family's 1533-position model. The record is from RNAcentral.